UACGAAGGGGGCUAGCGUUGUUCGGAAUUACUGGGCGUAAAGCGCGCGCAGGUGGUCUUUCAAGUCAGUGGUGAAAGCCCGGAGCUCAACUCCGGAAAUGCCAUUGAAACUGUAAGACUUGAGGAUGAGAGAGGUGAGUGGAAUUCCCAGUGUAGAGGUGAAAUUCGUAGAUAUUGGGAAGAACACCGGUGGCGAAGGCGGCAUCUGGCCUGGAAUUGACGCUGAGGCGCGAAAGCGUGGGGAGCAAACAGGG
Molecule: ribosomal RNA, 253 nt
Filed under: uncultured bacterium
Lineage: Bacteria
Description: partial 16S ribosomal RNA
Rfam family: Bacterial small subunit ribosomal RNA
Source: RNAcentral